ACGAACGCUGGCGGCGUGCUUAACACAUGCAAGUCGAACGGAAAGGCCCUUCGGGGUACUCGAGUGGCGAACGGGUGAGUAACACGUGGGUGAUCUGCCCCGCACUUUGGGAUAAGCCUGGGAAACUGGGUCUAAUACCGAAUAUGACCGCGCUCUUCAUGGGGUGUGGUGGAAAGCUUUUGCGGUGUGGGAUGAGCCCGCGGCCUAUCAGCUUGUUGGUGGGGUAAUGGCCUACCAAGGCGACGACGGGUAGCCGGCCUGAGAGGGUGACCGGCCACACUGGGACUGAGAUACGGCCCAGACUCCUACGGGAGGCAGCAGUGGGGAAUAUUGCACAAUGGGCGCAAGCCUGAUGCAGCGACGCCGCGUGAGGGAUGACGGCCUUCGGGUUGUAAACCUCUUUCAGCACAGACGAAGCGCAAGUGACGGUAUGUGCAGAAGAAGGACCGGCCAACUACG
This 459-nucleotide ribosomal RNA is filed under the name Mycolicibacterium diernhoferi. RNAcentral's name for it is "bacterial SSU rRNA". It matches the Rfam family "Bacterial small subunit ribosomal RNA", at positions 29 to 505 of the family's 1533-position model. Lineage: Bacteria; Bacillati; Actinomycetota; Actinomycetes; Mycobacteriales; Mycobacteriaceae. The record is from RNAcentral.